GAUGAACGCUAGCUACAGGCUUAACACAUGCAAGUCGAGGGGUAACAAGAGGAAAGCUUGCUUUUCUUGUUGACGACCGGCGCACGGGUGAGUAACGCGUAUCCAACCUGCCUAUAACUAGGGAAUAACCUUGCGAAAGUAAGACUAAUACCCUAUGAUUUCCUUUGAUGACAUCGGUUUAGGAAUAAAGAUUUAUCGGUUAUAGAUGGGGAUGCGUCUGAUUAGCUUGUUGGCGGGGUAACGGCCCACCAAGGCAACGAUCAGUAGGGGAUCUGAGAGGAAGGUCCCCCACAUUGGAACUGAGACACGGUCCAAACUCCUACGGGAGGCAGCAGUGAGGAAUAUUGGUCAAUGGGCGGAAGCCUGAACCAGCCAAGUAGCGUGCAGGAUGACGGCCCUAUGGGUUGUAAACUGCUUUUAUACAGGAAUAAAGUUAGCCACGUGUGGUUAUUUGUAGGUACUGUAUGAAUAAGGACCGGCUAAUUCCGUGCCAGCCGCCGCAGUAA
This 506-nucleotide ribosomal RNA is filed under the name uncultured bacterium. RNAcentral's name for it is "partial 16S ribosomal RNA". It matches the Rfam family "Bacterial small subunit ribosomal RNA", at positions 28 to 523 of the family's 1533-position model. The record is from RNAcentral.